Molecule: ribosomal RNA, 3016 nt
Filed under: Colwellia maritima
Lineage: Bacteria; Pseudomonadati; Pseudomonadota; Gammaproteobacteria; Alteromonadales; Colwelliaceae
Description: 23S ribosomal RNA
Rfam family: Bacterial large subunit ribosomal RNA
Source: RNAcentral
GGUUAAGUGACUAAGCGUAUGUGGUGGAUGCCUUGGCAGUUAGAGGCGAUGAAGGACGUGUUAAUCUGCGAUAAGCGUUGGUAAGGUGAUAAAAACCAUUAUAGCCAACGAUUUCCGAAUGGGGAAACCCACCUGUCAUAAGGCAGGUAUCAUUAAGUGAAUACAUAGCUUAAUGAGGCGAACCGGGAGAACUGAAACAUCUAAGUACCCCGAGGAAAAGAAAUCAACCGAGAUUUCGUUAGUAGCGGCGAGCGAACGCGAAUCAGCCCUUAAGCUUAUUGGGCGCUAGUGGAAGGUUCUGGAAAGGACCACGAUACAGGGUGAUAGUCCCGUACACUAAAGCAACCUUUAAGUGAAAUCGAGUAGGACGGAGCACGUGAAACUUUGUCUGAAUAUGGGGGGACCAUCCUCCAAGGCUAAAUACUACUAACUGACCGAUAGUGAACCAGUACCGUGAGGGAAAGGCGAAAAGAACCCCUGUGAGGGGAGUGAAAUAGAACCUGAAACCGCAUACGUACAAGCAGUGGGAGCCAAAUUUAGUUUGGUGACUGCGUACCUUUUGUAUAAUGGGUCAGCGACUUAUAUUCUGUAGCAAGGUUAACCGAUUAGGGGAGCCGUAGCGAAAGCGAGUGUUAACUGCGCGUUUAGUUGCAGGGUAUAGACCCGAAACCCGGCGAUCUACCCAUGGGCAGGUUGAAGGUUGAGUAACAUCAACUGGAGGACCGAACACACGUAUGUUGAAAAAUGCGGUGAUGACUUGUGGGUCGGAGUGAAAGGCUAAUCAAGCCGGGAGAUAGCCGGUUCUCCCCGAAAUCUAUUUAGGUAGAGCCUCGGAUGGACACCACUGGGGGUAGAGCACUGUUAAGGCUAGGGGGUCAUCCCGACUUACCAACCCUUUGCAAACUCCGAAUACCAGUGAGUGAUAUCCGGGAGACACACUGCGGGUGCUAACGUCCGUUGUGAAGAGGGAAACAACCCAGACCGCCGCCUAAGGUCCCAAAGUACUAGUUAAGUGGGAAACGAUGUGGAAAGGCAUAGACAGCUAGGAGGUUGGCUUAGAAGCAGCCACCCUUUAAAGAAAGCGUAAUAGCUCACUAGUCGAGUCGGUCUGCGCGGAAGAUGUAACGGGGCUAAACUAGUCACCGAAGCUGCGGAUUCGAGCAUAUCACUAAGCUAUUUUAACUAACGUUAUUUUUCACAUGUUACUUUAUGUAAAAAAGUAAAAUAACGUUCAAGCAACCCGAACGUCAAUCGGUUGCGGGGUUAAAGUUGAGAUGAUUUAGAGAUAUGCUCGAGUGGUAGGGGAGCGUUGUGUAAGCCGUUGAAGGUGAAUUGAGAAGUUCUUCGGAGGUAUCACAAGUGCGAAUGCUGACAUGAGUAACGAUAAGGGGAGUGAAAAACUCCCCCGCCGAAAGACCAAGGUUUCCUGUCCCAUGUUAAUCAGGGCAGGGUAAGUCGGCCCCUAAGGCGAGGCGGAAACGCGUAGUCGAUGGGAAACAGAUUAAUAUUUCUGUACUUCUAUAUAUUGCGAAGGAGGGACGGAGCAGGCUAGGUGAGCACAGUGUUGGUAAUCUGUGUGAAAGUGCGUAGGCGGGAGUUUAGGUAAAUCCGGACUCCCUUAAGGCUGAGACACGAGACGAGACUCCAAGGAGUUGAAGUCAUUGAUGCCAUACUUCCAGGAAAAGCUUCUAAGCUUCAGAUAUAUAGGAACCGUACCCCAAACCGACACAGGUGGUUAGGUAGAGAAUACUAAGGCGCUUGAGAGAACUCGGGUGAAGGAACUAGGCAAAAUAGUACCGUAACUUCGGGAGAAGGUACGCCCUCAAUGGUGAUGGAAUUUACUUCCUAAGCGAUGGAGGGUCGAAGUAACCAGGUGGUCGGAACUGUUUAUUAAAAACACAGCACUGUGCAAAAUCGAAAGAUGACGUAUACGGUGUGACGCCUGCCCGGUGCCGGAAGGUUAAUUGAUUGGGUUAGUUUUCGGACGAAGCUCAUGAUCGAAGCCCCGGUAAACGGCGGCCGUAACUAUAACGGUCCUAAGGUAGCGAAAUUCCUUGUCGGGUAAGUUCCGACCUGCACGAAUGGCGUAAUCAUGGCCACACUGUCUCCACCCGAGACUCAGUGAAAUUGAAUUUGCGGUUAAGAUGCCGUAUACCCGCGGCUAGACGGAAAGACCCCGUGAACCUUUACUAUAGCUUGACAGUGAACAUUGCUCCUACAUGUGUAGGAUAGGUGGGAGACUUUGAAACUUCGUCGCCAGAUGGAGUGGAGUCAACCUUGAAAUACCACCCUUGUAUGCGUGAUGUUCUAACCUAGGGCCCUGAUCGGGCUUGGGGACACUGUCUGGUGGGUAGUUUGACUGGGGCGGUCUCCUCCCAAAGAGUAACGGAGGAGCACGAAGGUUGGCUAAGUAUGGUCGGACAUCAUACGGUUAGUGCAAUGGCAUAAGCCGACUUAACUGCGAGACAGACACGUCGAGCAGGUACGAAAGUAGGUCAUAGUGAUCCGGUGGUUCUGUAUGGAAGGGCCAUCGCUCAACGGAUAAAAGGUACUCCGGGGAUAACAGGCUGAUACCGCCCAAGAGUUCAUAUCGACGGCGGUGUUUGGCACCUCGAUGUCGGCUCAUCACAUCCUGGGGCUGAAGUCGGUCCCAAGGGUAUGGCUGUUCGCCAUUUAAAGUGGUACGCGAGUCGGGUUUAGAACGUCGUGAGACAGUUCGGUCCCUAUCUGCCGUGGGCGUUUGAGAAUUGAAGAGGGCUGCUCCUAGUACGAGAGGACCGGAGUGGACGAACCACUGGUGUUCGGGUUGUCAUGCCAAUGGCAUUGCCCGGUAGCUACGUUCGGAACUGAUAACCGCUGAAAGCAUCUAAGCGGGAAGCAGGCUUUGAGAUGAGUUCUCACUGGAGCUUUAAGCUCCCUAAAGGGUCGUUGGAGACUACAACGUUGAUAGGUCAGGUGUGUAAGGGUUGUAAGGCCUUGAGCUAACUGAUACUAAUUACCCGUGAGGCUUAACCAU